Long non-coding RNA from Mus pahari (shrew mouse), 619 nucleotides. RefSeq lists it as uncharacterized. The record is from RefSeq and is a predicted model, not a curated record. Lineage: Eukaryota; Metazoa; Chordata; Mammalia; Rodentia; Muridae. The transcript is spliced from 4 exons.
CCUGGACUCUCCCAAGAGCAUAUGGCCCAGCCCCACCCUGCCCUGUAUAAAUAGUCCCUGGAGGGGAGGCAGUCAGUCUUCCUGUUCCUACUCUACACUCUCAGGUGCUCCCUCCGUGUGUCGUUUCCUGCUCUGGCCCCGUAAAGAUGCAUCCAGGUGGCAAGGGACAUUGCCAGGGUCAUUCUCACUGUGGGCCACCCCCUGGCCAUGGUCCAGGACACUGUCAUGGGGGACAUCACUCUCCAGGACAUGAUGGCCAUGGCCCAGGGCACUGUCAUGGGGGACAUCACCCUCCAGGACAUGGUGGUCCAUCCCAUGGCCAUGGCCCAGGGCACUGUCAUGGGGGACAUCACCCUCCAGGACAUGGUUGCCCAUCCCAUGGCCAUGGCCCAGGGCACUGUCAUGGGGGACAUCACCCUCCAGGACAUGGUGGUCCAUCCCAUGGCCAUGGCCAUGGGCACUGUGGCCCUCACCCUGGUCCACAUCACUGAGAAGUCAGAAGAAACGAAGACACAAGAUGAGGAGUCUGCGUGGAAUCUCCAGCUGACCCGGCACCGGGUCUAAACUAGAAUUUUCCCUUGCAAAUAAAUAGCCUCCUGGAGGCCAUAUUUGUUCUUGU